UGCAGCUUGUACUUCCUGAGCACGAGCAUUUGUAUGAAUGUUUUCUUCAUCGUGAUUUUCACUAGUGGCAUUCAACUGUGUGGAUUGUUGUGCCAGGAACAAAGGCAAAUAAUUCAGUGCAAUUACUGGAACUGGAGAACUGGAGAAUUACUGGAUGCAAUUACUUUUUUUCUUCUUCCUUGUCAUGGCCUAGGAGAACUGGAGAAGAACAGGAGAUCAAUCGCUGCAAUGGGAGUGUCGUCAGCCGUCAGGAACUCAGGAUGGCAGAUUGAGUGCCACGCCGCCGCAAAUCGACGAGAGAAGAUCGUGUGAUACUGCACUGCGAGUACGCUGGGCAACAGGGCAACCGAACUGUUCAGACCUCACUAGCCAAUAAGGCUUGUAGCCUACCGUAACUUAAAAGCCCAUGGGCCUCGUACAGAAUAAAGGCCAUAUAGGCUGCUACCACCGGCGCUCGGCUCCCUGGUAAAUUUUUCAGUGGGGUGGGGGUAUCCCACCAUAUGUCAUGUAUGGCAAGCGCCAG
This 523-nucleotide long non-coding RNA is filed under the name Zea mays. RNAcentral's name for it is "long non-coding RNA (ZMAY_LNC005892)". The record is from RNAcentral. Lineage: Eukaryota; Viridiplantae; Streptophyta; Magnoliopsida; Poales; Poaceae.